UGACACAUGCUUUCUCGGAGGCUGGCUCACUCGCUCUCUCGUGGGGACACAGAGGUCGUCAGCACACAGAGGGACAUACGGGCAGAUGCUGUCCCUUCCCCCAACCCAAGAACCUUACGGCCAGCCCCCAGCAGGAGCAGACAUGAAGAGGCUGACUGUGGUGCUGGUUCUGGUUGCUGCAG
Molecule: long non-coding RNA, 182 nt
Organism: Galeopterus variegatus (Sunda flying lemur)
Lineage: Eukaryota; Metazoa; Chordata; Mammalia; Dermoptera; Cynocephalidae
Exons: 3
Source: RefSeq, a predicted model, not a curated record